UGUACAUGAGUGUGUGUAGCGUUGAAUUUGAAGAAACUUCGUCAGCAAAAAAGUACUUUUUAAUGCAACCAUGGUAUGUGUUGUGCCGUGUUCGUGCUUUUGUAACUAAAUCUCCGUUUUGACAUCACUUUUCAUCAUAAACUGAAAUAAUAAUAAAAAAACACCAUCGAAGCGAAUACAAAAUCAAAACAAAACCAACAAAACUUAAAAAAAAACAACAACAAAACUGAGAAUUAAAUCAACUUUAGCUCAAAACCAAAAACUACCAAACCGGCGUUUUUAGGAAGAGGAACUAUUGAGGAAGUGGCAACUAUAACUGCUCCAAUAUUUAAAAACAAACACUUUUUAAUUUCAAAUCUGCAUUAACAACUCCUACAAAAUUGUGAAAAUUUAAGUAAUAAAUUGUAAAAAGCUGCUGGAAACAGUUUGCAACGGUUAAAAAAAGCUUAAGCCAAGCUUAGCUUAUAAAAAAAACCAGCCCCUUUAAAACAAUUAAAAAUCUGGGAGAAAAAGAAAACAACAAAAAUAAAAACACUUAGUGAAAUUAGCAAUAAAACUUAUAAAAAAAUACUCAGAAUUUCCAAGAAAUUCAAAAUUAAAAACAAAAAACUAAAUAAAAAUUAUAAAAACACAUCUGUCCACAAAAAUACUACUGUAAGUUAGCAAACCCAAUUAAUAAGGAAGAAACAGCAAAGCUUGGCUCUUAUUAUUGUUAUAAUACCUUGCUAAACACUAAAACAAUAAGGUCGUCGUCAACACCUACCUAUCUUCAAUCAAUAAGGACAUUAUCUAUUGUUUUAAUAACGGAGGAGUAUUAACAACACUUUAGUUAACACGCAGCAAGCAAAUCAGCAGGAUUUUGUUAUCAACAGAACGAUAGUAGUGAGAUCAAUCGAGAUAGAGAAACAAAAUAUACGUUAAAGCCUUAAAUUAUUGUGUAUAUCUGAGAAAAUAAGUCAUACUUCAUCUUUUAUAAAUUUCCUGGAGCUCGAAUACAACAUAUACCUAUUAUCCCCACAUCAAUUCCUCAUUUUUUUUUCGAAAACCCCAUUUUCUCUACACAAGCUUUAAAUAUUUGUUUUAAUUUUAACGCUUAUUUUAAAAAUAUAUAUUUUUUUAAACACAACCACCACGCCCACAACAAACAUCAAACAAAAUACAACAACAACAAUAUAAAUCCUCAACAUUAUUACGGCAACAACAAAAAACUACCAACAACUGAAAAGAAAGUUUUAAAGUACAAAUAAAACGAAAAAAAAAUAUUAAAAUUAAUAAAUAAAAUUAAAAAACGCAACAUUACAAAAAAAAAAAAAAAAACAAAAAAGAACUUAAAAACACUGAAUUUAAUGAUUAAUUAAGAUUUUUAUAAUUGUACAAAGUAUUAAAAAUUAUAAUAAACUCAAAUAUAGAAACUUAAAGUAACAAGUAAGAAAAUCCAAAAAAAAGAGAAAAGAACAGAAAAUUGAAAAAUAUAAAAUACUAAAAAAACUGAAUCGGGAAAGUGAAAAGAAAAUAUAAACUUGAAACCGGGAAACUUUGUAUGCCUCAAAGGCGUGAAAGGAAUCGUAUCUACAAAAAUAAAAAUCUCUAAAAAGCAACAAAAAACAACAACUAACGGAAACAAUAAUUAAAAAUAUUUCAUUAUUAAAAAUAAAAACAACAACAAACAACAUUAAAAUAAUCAAAUUAAUUUAAUAAAUAUAAAUCUAAAAUUAAGAAAUUUUUACAUUUAAAUUCUUAAAAAUAAAUAUUAAAAAAAAAAAAAAAAAUUAUUCCAAAACAUUAACAAUUACAACAACAAUUUAACAGAAAUUAUAUUUAAACGGCUGGCGGUUUGUUUUUACACAAAAAAAAACGAAAAACAGCUUGUUUUCAACGAUCUCUCAAUAAAAAGAGAUCCCUUUUCAAAAGGGAUCUUUUUGAUUUUAUUUAUUUAUAAAAAAAAAACAAAAACAAAAUAAACUUUUAAAGACUUUCAAUUAAACAAGAGAUUUUGAAAAUAAUUCAACGUAUAUACACACACACACAUAUAAAUAAAUAUAUAUUAAAUAAAUCCUAAAAGUGAAUAAAUGCAAAUGAAAAAGUCUUAGAAAAUAAUCUUAAACAUUUCUUAAAAAAAAGCUAUUGAAAAACAAAACAUUAAAACAAAUUCAAAGAAAGAUUUAAACAUCUCUGUGAUAAUUAUUGUAAAUUUAUAAACUUAUUAAUUAAUGGAAUCUUUAGAAAUGCAAAUUUAAUACAAAAACAAAACUUCUUAUAUAUAAAAUAAAAAAUAAUAUUUAACCAUACGAAGCUAAAAAAUUAUAAUAAUAAAAACAAAACAAAAAACAA
Calliphora vicina (urban bluebottle blowfly) is the source of this 2331-nucleotide long non-coding RNA. RefSeq lists it as uncharacterized. NCBI's taxonomy places the organism in Eukaryota, Metazoa, Arthropoda, Insecta, Diptera, Calliphoridae. The record is from RefSeq and is a predicted model, not a curated record. The transcript has 2 exons.